Molecule: ribosomal RNA, 447 nt
Filed under: Apanteles sp. 1 SY-2018
Lineage: Eukaryota; Metazoa; Arthropoda; Insecta; Hymenoptera; Braconidae
Description: partial 16S ribosomal RNA
Rfam family: Bacterial large subunit ribosomal RNA (bases 1-173)
Source: RNAcentral
UCACCUGUUUUUCAAAAACAUGUCUUAAAGAAACUUUAAAUUUUAAGUCAAAUCUGCUCAAUGAAAAUAAUUUUUAAAUAGCUGCAGUAAACUUAACUGUACUAAGGUAGCAUAAUAAAUUGUUUUAUAAUUUAAAACUAGUAUGAAAGAUUUAAUGAAAUAUAAACUGUCUCAAAUUAAAAAAAUAAAAUUAUUAUUUAAGUAAAAAAACUUAAAUUAAUUUUAAAGACAAGAAGACCCUAAAGAAUUUUUAUAUUUAAUUUUUAAAAAAAUUAAAAUUUAAAUAAUUUAAUUGGGGAAAUUUUAAAAUUAAAUUAAUUUUUAAUUAAAAAAAACAAUAAUAAUUGAAUUACUAAAAUUUUUUAAAAAAAUAAAUUAAAAUUACCUUAGGGAUAACAGCAUAAUUUUUUUUUUAAGUUCAAAUUCAUAAAAAAGUUUAUGACCUCG